RNAcentral lists this transfer RNA (72 nucleotides) under Caudoviricetes sp. Its description in RNAcentral is "tRNA-Glu". It matches the Rfam family "tRNA". Rfam says of the family: Transfer RNA (tRNA) molecules are approximately 80 nucleotides in length. The record is from RNAcentral. Lineage: Duplodnaviria; Heunggongvirae; Uroviricota; Caudoviricetes.
GACCCAUUAGUCAAGCGGUUAAGACACGGCCCUUUCACGGCUGUAACGCCAGUUCGAUUCUGGCAUGGGCCA